AUUGAACGCUGGCGGCAUGCCUUACACAUGCAAGUCGAACGGCAGCGGGGGAGAAGCUUGCUUUUCCUGCCGGCGAGUGGCGAACGGGUGAGUAAUACAUCGGAACGUGCCCUGUAGUGGGGGAUAACUAGUCGAAAGAUUAGCUAAUACCGCAUACGACCUGAGGGUGAAAGUGGGGGACCGCAAGGCCUCAUGCUAUAGGAGCGGCCGAUGUCUGAGUAGCUAGUUGGUGGGGUAAAGGCCUACCAAGGCGACGAUCAGUAGCUGGUCUGAGAGGACGAUCAGCCACACUGGGACUGAGACACGGCCCAGACUCCUACGGGAGGCAGCAGUGGGGAAUUUUGGACAAUGGGCGAAAGCCUGAUCCAGCAAUGCCGCGUGUGUGAAGAAGGCCUUCGGGUUGUAAAGCACUUUUGUCCGGAAAGAAAUGGCUCUGGUUAAUACCUGGGGUCGAUGACGGUACCGGAAGAAUAAGGACCGGCUAACUCCUUGCCAGCCGCCGCCGUAA
Molecule: ribosomal RNA, 508 nt
Filed under: uncultured bacterium
Lineage: Bacteria
Description: partial 16S ribosomal RNA
Rfam family: Bacterial small subunit ribosomal RNA
Source: RNAcentral